ACGUGGUAGGGGAGCAUUCUCCUCGCGGCGAAGCCGCCUCGUCAGGGGCGGUGGAGCGUGGAGAAAAGCAUAUGUAGGCAUGAGUAACGAUAAUGCGGGUGAGAAACCCGCACGCCGAUAGACUAAGGUUUCCAGCUCAACGCUAAUCGGAGCUGGGUUAGUCGGGACCUAAGGGGCAGCCGAAAGGUGAACUCGAUGGACAGCAGGUUAAUAUUCCUGUACUGAUGAAUGGAAGUGAUGCAGUGACGCAGAAGUGAAAGCGCCGCGGGCGGACGGAAGUGCCCGUUGAAGGCCGUAGGUAUUGGGAGGGUAGUUAAGUACGCCCACCUAGCCGAAAGCUGAUAGUACCGCACGACCUUCGGGUCACGCGGAUAGUGCGCCUAAUCCGACUGCCAAGAAAACCUGCUAAGCGUUUUAACCCAUUUAUCACCCGUACCGCAAACCGACACAGGUAGUCAAGGAGAGCAUCCUGAGGCGCUCGAGUGAAUCACGGCCAAGGAACUCGGCAAAAUGGACCUGUAACUUCGGGAGAAGGGUCGCUUCC
Molecule: ribosomal RNA, 544 nt
Filed under: uncultured eukaryote
Lineage: Eukaryota
Description: partial Bacterial large subunit ribosomal RNA
Rfam family: Bacterial large subunit ribosomal RNA
Source: RNAcentral